CCCCCUCCUUUUCAUAAUUUGUAUGUUUAGGUGUUCGGUCAAUUUACUCUACACUUGUAAUGUCUUAUAGUCAAGACCAUCAAUCAGAUUCGGUGUGACAAAAAUAUCCUGCUACAAUAUUACAGGUUAUUAAAGGGAUGAUGGGAACGAGCUGCAUGCAUUUACUGGGCCUUUUUUCUCAUUUCAGAAAAGCUGUCAUGGGCCUAAACCGGUGAUUCAUCUUCUCUUCAGUAUCAACAGGUAGUUGCUAAGAGUGGACUUUGAUGAGCUACUUUCAUGCAUCUUUAAUCUCUCCCAACACCUCCAGCCAAAUUUCUUUCUCUUGUAACCUUUUCUCUUUCCCUGAAAACAGGAUAAGCUGUUGGAGAGAGAGAGCUAUGUGGCAAUCUGGCCUAGAUCAUUUUUACCUGGGUGCUCGGAAGACAGAUGAUAUCCCAUGGAUUUGCUAAGCUAUUCAGGUUUCCAUUAUUCUCCUACAGUGAAGGCCAUACUGCCACUCAAGGGACACUUAUUUCAGGUUUAACUGGGAACACGUUCAUGCGUGCACAUGUUCUGUCUCUCAGUGGUGUCCAAUUCUUUCGUGACCCCAUGGACUGUAGCCAGCCAGGCUCCAUGGGAAUUCCCAGGUAAGAAUACUGGCGUGGGCUGCCAUUUCCUUCUCCAGGGAAUAUUCCCGACCACUGAGAUUAAACCCACAUCUCUUGCAUUGGCAGGUGGAUUCUUUACCACUGAGCCACCUGGGAAGCCCCACAUGGAAAAACUAUUUCCCAUUAUUCUAGAUUGUCAAAGUCUUCAGAAUUCUGAUAAUACAAGCAUCUUUCCUCUGCUCCAUUAUGUCUGAGGCCUUGGUUUGAAAAUAUGAAGACAGUUUAUUCUGGGAGUAAUCAAGUUCUUCUCCACAUGGGCAUCUCAGUAUGGUCUUCAACAUGAGAUAGCCUGUACUUCAGAGGACAGUAGCCAAGUUCCAAAGAUGAACACAGAGAGAGAGCAAGCAAAUGUGGAAGCUCCAGGUAGAAGCCAUACCAUCUUCAAGAACCUAGCUUAGAAGUCACAAAACUUCAGUUCUACCACACUUUAUCCAUCAAGAUGGUUACAGAGUUGUAGUUAUCAGAGGUGGGCAGCAAGGAAAGAGGGGGACUGAAUGAAGGUGGUCAAAAUGUACAAACUUCUAGUUAUAAGAUAAACAAGUACUAGGAGUGUAAUGUAAUACACAACAUGAUUACUGCAAUUAACACUGCUAUAUGUUACAUAUGAAAGUUGUUAAAGAGAGUAAAUACAAAGAGUUCUCAUCACAAGGGAAAAUAUGGUUUUUUUCUUUUUAGUUUGUAUCUAGAUGAUGGAUGUUCAUUAAUUAUUAUGAUACUCAUUUCAUGAUGAAUGUAAGUCAUUACACUGAACACUUAAAUUUAUACAGGUUGUGUGUCAAUUUUAACUCAUUAAAAAAUGGAAGAAAAAAAAAAGACA
This 1464-nucleotide long non-coding RNA is filed under the name Ovis aries (sheep). Its description in RNAcentral is "lncRNA (ENSOARG00000026602.1)". The record is from RNAcentral. Lineage: Eukaryota; Metazoa; Chordata; Mammalia; Artiodactyla; Bovidae.